CCAGAGGCCACUCCCUUAGAC
RNAcentral lists this unclassified non-coding RNA (21 nucleotides) under Mus musculus (house mouse). Its description in RNAcentral is "oocyte_clustered_small_RNA10029". The record is from RNAcentral. Lineage: Eukaryota; Metazoa; Chordata; Mammalia; Rodentia; Muridae.